CUCCGUACCGGCCGGUACCGGCUAACUUUCACCUCUGCCAGGGUUUCCUGGGUUUUGCAGGGGCCUCUGCUUGCUUUGCCUGCCCUAGAUUUCACCUGCAGAUUAGAGACAGCAUGUGAUGGACCCAGGAAGAGACGACACCUCGUGGACUUCCUGUAGCUGGAGCCACCAGCUGAGUUCCUCAUUUGGGGCUUGGUUGAGUUGGGCUUCGGGGUGUUGGUGGAAGCACUGAGGGGCCCCUGGCUGCCCCCGUCAUGGCAUCUGCUCUCACCGUCCUCCUCCUCGGCUGCUGGCUGGCCGGGCACAGCGGGGUGUGGGGACAGCCCAGCUACCCCAAACCCACCAUCUCUGGGAUCCCCAGCGAGGGGGUUUCCUUGGGGGGAUCCAUGAGCAUCUGGUGUAAGAGGCAGCACCAGGCCGUGCGGUUUGUGC
Mauremys mutica (yellowpond turtle) is the source of this 432-nucleotide long non-coding RNA. RefSeq lists it as uncharacterized. The transcript has 3 exons. The record is from RefSeq and is a predicted model, not a curated record. NCBI's taxonomy places the organism in Eukaryota, Metazoa, Chordata, Testudines, Geoemydidae.